GUCUAUUCCCCAUCACCUAGGACUGUAUUCUGAAAUUUAAAGCAUCUAUAUCCCAGUUACCCAAUCCCUUUUAUACGAAGAAUAUGAAGUUCUUCUCUCAGGCAAAUGAGAGGCGAUAACCACCUCCAUUUUUUGUCAGACUUUUCUUCUUCCUACAGGUCAAAGCCUUCCAACAAGAUGAAACCUGCUUUCUCUCUCCUGCUCAUUCUCAUCCCACGUCUUAGGCUGAGAUCCCCUGGCAAUGCUGACUGCACCUCAGUACUUAGCUGUGGAUGGAAAAAUAUCAGCAGCCCUUUUUGCACCAGCAGGCCCCCUUGGAAACAGAAAGAUUCUGGAAGAUGAGUUGGGAGUUUGAGAAGGGAAAAUCAAAUCCUGUCCAAUCCCCUAAGGAAGAACAGCAGCUGGCUAUGUAGCAAAGAGAGGGAAAGAAGUUAGCCUAGGAAGCUGUAUAAUCAUCAUUGACCUAGAUUAAGAUUAAUUUAGGUUGGGAUUUGAAUCUUAUGCUCUGCAAUUUAUCAGUUCUGUACUCUGAAAUUAUUUGAUUGUGCCUUCUUUCUCUUGGUUUCUAAUAAAAUUGUCUUGAGAAAAUAU
RNAcentral lists this long non-coding RNA (591 nucleotides) under Monodelphis domestica (gray short-tailed opossum). RNAcentral's name for it is "lncRNA (ENSMODG00000036615.1)". Lineage: Eukaryota; Metazoa; Chordata; Mammalia; Didelphimorphia; Didelphidae. The record is from RNAcentral.